CGUGACCUACUUUGUGGGGUUCAUUUCAUCUCCUGGAUCUUCCUGAUAUCCCAGGCCAGGGAGCCUGUUAAGAAAGGAGUGACAUUUAAAAUAACUUACUUUUAAAGCUCCCAGGAUGGUUCCCAGGGCGCAGUGCUUUCCUGGUGUGCCUUCAGGUGCUCUGUGUACUUAUCUAUUCUAGAGAGGAUUAGGGUGGGAUACUCCAGAUGACACUGCGGAAGCCACUGCCAGCAGCCCACUGAGAGGUCUUUAUCCCUGUUAUACUAAGAAGGGUAUAGAGGUUCAGAGAGGUUCUGUAACCUUCUCAAGACACACAGGCAAGAAUCAGAUUUGGGGCCAUCUCACUGUUCAGGAGGCCUGUGUGGGUCUCGCCUUCCCUGGGCUUUCGUGCAGGCUGGAAGACACACAGUGGUCACACGGUCAACUCCUUUGACUUCCUUUAUCAUCAAACAAGCCAAACUUCCUGAACGUGGGGAUUUCUGGAAGCAUGAAAGUUUUGCCGAGACCCAGCAGACAGCCCUCUGGUUUGGUCUUCAGAUAUCUCUCGCCCUUGGCCUCAGUUUCCCCAGCUCUAGAAACGAGAGGGUUGAAUGCAGCCGCUCUGACAUCCUGGGACCUCUAAGAGCCAUGGUUCUGGACCACGCACGAGAGGGGAGAGGCGAGCGGUCUCGCUCUUGUUCUCCAGGAAGGCCUUUGGAAAUCAGUGGAGGGAGGGGGCCCUUGGAAAUCUACUGCACUGGCACCUGAGCUCCUGAAGCCUCGUGGCAGAGAGGACAGUCUCACACAGACGCAUGAGGAGAAGAACCAUUCCUUGUGAUGACACACCGAUCCACUUAAAAUUGGCCUGGACACCACCAGGCUGUGGCUUGCUGUGCCACUCGGGGCAGUGGAUAGGGCCACCCUGGUCUCGCCCUGAGCAUCUCGGCUCCUCUCCUUCUUGUGCGUGUCCAGGACCAGCCCAGCACGCUCGCUGCCCCUGUCCUGUCCCUGCCUUGCCUGCAUGGCACUUUGCACUGUGUAGCAUGUGAUCAGCACCCCGCUCAUUCGAGGGUAGGAUGUAGGAACCUGCCAACUCCAGAGCACAGGCCCCACCCUGGGAGGAAGCAGAAAAGGCGCCUGGGGAAUGAGGAAAAUCCUGUCCAUGAGGUGCCUGCAUCCGUCCAUGUAGCAGGUGCAGAACGUUCCUCUUACUCAGCCUCCAUUGCCUCGCCUGUACAAUGGGGACACGCCACCACCUGGGUCUCGGGGCGGCAGUGAUGGGGACACCAGUCCGUCACCACAGGUCAUGAUGACAAAGUUUUGGGCCGAGUGCCCGGACCAGGGAAGAACUCAGUGCCAUUGAAGUUCUCAUUAGCAAUAUCAUGCUUCAGAUCGGAAGGAAAAAGCAUCAAUUUUGAGUACCCAUGACUGCCUUUUGGACAGCACCCAGGAACCGGAGCUUGAUUUAGGCCAGAAAUGACGGUCCUUUUGAGUCGAUAAAGUUGCACUCUCGGGAGGAGUCGGCUGCCGCCUGUCACCCAGUUCACUUGCGGUGACACUCCCUUUUCUGUCCCUUCCCAGCCAGGCCGCCUUCCGCUCCCUAUGCCCUGAAGCUCUGUGAGCCUCUGACAGCUGGGAGGGAGAAGAAGGACGGUCCCCUGAGCCUGGGAGUUUUAAAUCGGGCAGGAGUUGAUGGGUCCCUCAAACAAGGCCUGUCAUCCGCAGUGACACUUAAGGUGCUGUGUGGCAGCCCCUCUGGGCCUCUUCAGCCAUCCACAGGGAGGCUGGCAACCCUGCAGGCUGCAGACGAGGUGCUGAGCUCUGGGAGGCAGGGACCCGUCUUCUUCCUCUGCGCGCCCACAGGUGGGCGCAGGGUGUGGGGAGAGGCGAGGACAAGGAGGCGGGCAGACCUGGCUUCCGGAAGCCCGUGGCUCCAUGGAAAGACCGUGUCAGCGUCCCAGUGCUGCUGAGUGCCUCCCACGGGACACCUCGUUGGAAAGGACUCCGGGAGCUGCCCGCUGCAGACGUUGAGUCUGAGGAGGGAAAGGCCCAUUGGGAUGCUGGGUGCCGCACCAUCAGACGGCGCCACCAUCAGCUUCCCUGUCCUCUCACCGGGGCAGGGUCUUCAGUUCUAGCUCAAGUCCAUGUGCUCUGUCCUCCAGUCCCAGUCGGGCCAGUUUCUUCCCCCGUGGGCCCCCAUAGAGGCUGUGCUGGGAGAACUUCCAUUUUCUCUUGGUUGGUCAGUGCCAGGGACCUGCAGCCAGGAGUGGGGCGUGCCGGGCCAGGGUCACGGGGACUGUGAGUGGGUGGUGUGCACAGGGUUGACCCCGGGUCUCCGGGCUCCCAGACCAGCCUCCACCACCCGGGUUGGCACUCACCGCCACAUGGUCUUUCCAUCCCUCCAUCGCUCAGCACCACAGCACAUUAACUGAAACAUUUUAUCUCCUGAUAGGCGGUGGAGGGAGUGUCUACAGGGCCCCUUCCAAAAAUAAUAUUUUUACUUUCCAGCAGCAAAAUACACAGUAUCCAUUCUUGUCAUUUUUGAAUCUCUGGCAACAACCCAAUGCAUUCUUGUCGAGAACAAUAUAACAAUCUGACUUCUGUUUUGGCCCCUGAGUUCUUUUGUCCCUCCCCACCAAGUGUGAAAUGUGCACUUCCUGACCAUCCGACCGCAGGUCCAGACAAUGGAGAAACAAAGACGAGCCACGCCAGCAGCAGGUGAGGCCACCGGCACAGCGAUCCCAGCCCCUUCGAAAGCCUCUGUCUGGGUCACGAGGAAGACCAAAAAUAAGUAGCUGUGGACAACGGCCUAAUUCCGAGGGGUCGGCAACAUUGUCCGGUUGGGGUUUGCAGUCAAGGACGGUUUGAUAGCAAAAUGGCCCCUAACCGGCCCCCAGGUACCUCCCUUCCCCUGAUUCAUUACAUCGCCUGACACAAAACCCUUUCAUUUGAAUCAGCUGAAGUCUGCUCUCUUCUUUGAAGACUUCCCUGACUCUUGAUUCAACAAACAUUUGCUGCAUUCUACAAUGUGCCUGCCUUUUCCAAGUAGUGGUAUCAUGUCCUGAGUAUAAGCUAAUAUUCCCUCCUUUGUGCUACUUCUUUAUUUAUGUCUCUUCAUUUUACAUAUAAGGAGACAGGUCUGGAGAGGGGAGGUGACUUAAGCCAUAAUAAUGUGACAAAUAAGAGCAUGGAAGUGCUAAGAGGCGAUACCACUGCUCAAAGUUCCAUAGGUGCCCUGGGCUGUCUGUAUACACAGCCAGCUGGUCAACCCCCAUCCCUGUGUGGUGACGGGGGGAGGGGGAUCCUAAGGCCUCAAGAGCAGGAGGACAUGGUGGCCGUGACUUAUCCCACCCCAUACUCCUGGGGUACACUCUCAUGGGGCAAGACAAGCAAGGGCAGGGGGCCGGGGGAGUGUAACUCCCAGCUUCCUCCCUUCUCCCGGCAGUGGGCGUGAUGGAUGGCCUCUGAGCGACCGGUGCCAUGUGGGGUGUGAUAUCCCCUUUUGUGAACGACGGGUUGCCAGCUGCAGUAACACACAUUUUCUCUACCAGCCCCAUCCCACUGUACCUCUCCAUGUUUUCGCUGCAACCCCUGCCUCCCCCUGCUCGGCCUGUAAUGGCUAAUUCAGCUCGGUAUCAGCAAGCGCUGCUGUUUCUUGAAUGCUUACUCUGUGCCAGGCGCUGCUGUCGGGACUCUGGCCAGAUCCGCUGACAUCUCUGUAACAUCUCAGGAAGGUAGCUAUUAU
Long non-coding RNA from Artibeus jamaicensis (Jamaican fruit-eating bat), 3724 nucleotides. RefSeq lists it as uncharacterized. The record is from RefSeq and is a predicted model, not a curated record. The transcript has 6 exons. Lineage: Eukaryota; Metazoa; Chordata; Mammalia; Chiroptera; Phyllostomidae.